Molecule: transfer RNA, 76 nt
Filed under: Nitrososphaerota archaeon
Lineage: Archaea; Thermoproteati; Nitrososphaerota
Description: Thaumarchaeota archaeon tRNA-Asp
Rfam family: tRNA
About the family: Transfer RNA (tRNA) molecules are approximately 80 nucleotides in length. Their secondary structure includes four short double-helical elements and three loops (D, anti-codon, and T loops).
Source: RNAcentral
GCCUUGGUCGUAUAGUGGUCCAGUAUGCGAGACUGUCACUCUCGUGACCCGGGUUCGAAUCCCGGCCAAGGCGCCA